This 253-nucleotide ribosomal RNA is filed under the name Schaalia turicensis. Its description in RNAcentral is "partial 16S ribosomal RNA". It matches the Rfam family "Bacterial small subunit ribosomal RNA", at positions 524 to 776 of the family's 1533-position model. Lineage: Bacteria; Bacillati; Actinomycetota; Actinomycetes; Actinomycetales; Actinomycetaceae. The record is from RNAcentral. RNAcentral also lists the same sequence under 1 other name.
UACGUAGGGCGCGAGCGUUGUCCGGAAUUAUUGGGCGUAAAGGGCUUGUAGGCGGUUGGCCGCGUCUGCCGUGAAAUCCUCUGGCUUAACUGGGGGCGUGCGGUGGGUACGGGUUGACUUGAGUGCGGUAGGGGAGACUGGAAUUCCUGGUGUAGCGGUGGAAUGCGCAGAUAUCAGGAGGAACACCGGUGGCGAAGGCGGGUCUCUGGGCCGUUACUGACGCUGAGGAGCGAAAGCGUGGGGAGCGAACAGG